CCUACGGGAGGCAGCAGUGAGGAAUAUUGGUCAAUGGCCGCAAGUCUGAACCAGCCAUGUCGCGUGAAGGAAGAAGGCUCUAUGGUUUGUAAACUGCUUUUAUAGGAGGGUAAACGUAUCCACGUGUGUAUGUUUGCAUGUACCCUAUGAAUAAGCAUCGGCUAACUCCGUGCCAGCAGCCGCGGUAAUACGGAGGAUGCAAGCUUUAUCCGGAUUUAUUGGGUUUAAGGGGUGCGUAGGUGGUUUGUUAAGUUAGGGUUGAAAUUUUGUGGUUCAACCAGAAAAUUGCUGUGGAAACUGGAAGACUUGAGUGUGUUUGAGGUAGGCGGAAUGCGUGGUGUAGCGGGGAAAUGCAUAGAGAUCACGCAGAACUCCGAUUGCGAAGGCAGCUUACCAAGCCUCAACUGACACUGAAGCACGAAAGCGUGGGGAUCAAACAGGAUUAGAUACCCGGGUAGUC
Molecule: ribosomal RNA, 460 nt
Filed under: uncultured bacterium
Lineage: Bacteria
Description: partial 16S ribosomal RNA
Rfam family: Bacterial small subunit ribosomal RNA
Source: RNAcentral